UUUAAUUGAAGAGUUUGAUCAUGGCUCAGAUUGAACGCUGGCGGCAGGCCUAACACAUGCAAGUCGAGCGGUAACAUUUCAAAAGCUUG
RNAcentral lists this ribosomal RNA (89 nucleotides) under Shewanella sp. cp20. RNAcentral describes it as "partial 16S ribosomal RNA". It matches the Rfam family "Bacterial small subunit ribosomal RNA", at positions 1 to 85 of the family's 1533-position model. The record is from RNAcentral. Lineage: Bacteria; Pseudomonadati; Pseudomonadota; Gammaproteobacteria; Alteromonadales; Shewanellaceae.